RNAcentral lists this ribosomal RNA (301 nucleotides) under uncultured bacterium. RNAcentral describes it as "partial 16S ribosomal RNA". It matches the Rfam family "Bacterial small subunit ribosomal RNA", at positions 509 to 809 of the family's 1533-position model. The record is from RNAcentral.
CAGCAGCCGCGGUAAUACGAAGGGGGCUAGCGUUGUUCGGAUUUACUGGGCGUAAAGCGCACGUAGGCGGAUGAUUAAGUCAGGGGUGAAAUCCCGAGGCUCAACCUCGGAACUGCCUUUGAUACUGGUUGGCUUGAGUUCGGGAGAGGUGAGUGGAAUUCCCAGUGUAGAGGUGAAAUUCGUAGAUAUUGGGAAGAACACCAGUGGCGAAGGCGGCUCACUGGACCGACACUGACGCUGAGGCGCGAAAGCGUGGGGAGCAAACAGGAUUAGAUACCCCAGUAGUCCCUGUCUCUUAUAA